Molecule: small RNA, 100 nt
Filed under: Pan troglodytes (chimpanzee)
Lineage: Eukaryota; Metazoa; Chordata; Mammalia; Primates; Hominidae
Description: processed transcript
Source: RNAcentral
UUCGGCCUGUCCAUCGCUCAGCUCAUUGACGUGGUCCCCUCAGAGUCCCCAUCCUGGGCUCGGCUGCCUCCAGGGACGGGGCACUCACCACCUCCAGAGG